CAGCUGAGUUGUCAGAGCUGAUACUUUCUCUUGGGAUGCAUCCAACUCUCUUCGUAGCUUGCGAAUCUCUGAUUGGCACUUCUCUUCAGGCUAUAAAAUAAAACCGGAGGAGAAUAUAUGAGGACAUUACAAUGGAACCAGUACAACAAUCUUAACUAUUAUAAUCAUUACUAUUAAUAUGAUUUUCAAAAAUUCAAGUGGUAAUUUCUUAUUUAGGAUUUUC
Molecule: long non-coding RNA, 223 nt
Filed under: Gallus gallus (chicken)
Lineage: Eukaryota; Metazoa; Chordata; Aves; Galliformes; Phasianidae
Source: RNAcentral